GUCCACGCUGUAAACGAUGUCGACUUGGAGGUUGUGCCCUUGAGGCGUGGCUUCCGGAGCUAACGCGUUAAGUCGACCGCCUGGGGAGUACGGCCGCAAGGUUAAACUCAAAUGAAUUGACGGGGCCCGCACAAGCGGUGGAGCAUGUGGUUUAAUUCGAUGCAACGCGAAGAACCUUACCUACUCUUGACAUCCACAGAACUUAGCAGAGAUGCUUCGGUGCCUUCGGGAACUGUGAGACAGGUGCUGCAUGGCUGUCGU
This 261-nucleotide ribosomal RNA is filed under the name uncultured bacterium. RNAcentral's name for it is "partial 16S ribosomal RNA". It matches the Rfam family "Bacterial small subunit ribosomal RNA", at positions 793 to 1055 of the family's 1533-position model. The record is from RNAcentral.